RNAcentral lists this ribosomal RNA (454 nucleotides) under uncultured Paludibacter sp. RNAcentral's name for it is "partial 16S ribosomal RNA". It matches the Rfam family "Bacterial small subunit ribosomal RNA", at positions 341 to 792 of the family's 1533-position model. Lineage: Bacteria; Pseudomonadati; Bacteroidota; Bacteroidia; Bacteroidales; Paludibacteraceae. The record is from RNAcentral.
ACGGGAGGCAGCAGUGAGGAAUAUUGGUCAAUGGGCGGAAGCCUGAACCAGCCAAGUCGCGUGAAGGUAGAAGGUAUUAUGUAUUGUAAACUUCUUUAGACGCAGAGAAAUAAGAGGGUCGUGACCCUUGAUGCUAGUAUGCGUAGAAUAAGGAUCGGCUAACUCCGUGCCAGCAGCCGCGGUAAUACGGAGGAUCCGAGUGUUAUCCGGAUUUAUUGGGUUUAAAGGGUGCGCAGGCGGUGGAUCAAGUAAGUGGUGAAAUGGUGGGGCUAAACCGUAGCAUUGCCGUUGAAACUGGUUCACUUGAGUGCGGACGAGGCAGGCGGAAUGUGUUGUGUAGCGGUGAAAUGCAUAGAUAUGACACAGAACACCGAUUGCGAAGGCAGCCUGCCAGGCCGCAACUGACGCUGAGGCACGAAAGUGCGGGGAUCGAACAGGAUUAGAUACCCUGGUA